GGGGAAUGUUGCCUCUAGGAAAUUAAAAACUAUAACUACAGCCUACUUAGCAGAUGUGUGACUACGCCCUUACAACUGCACCACAGUGCAUCACAGAGGAAGAGCUCUUCUUUAAAUGUCAAAUAGCAACUUUUUUCCCUGAUGGCUUUUAUAGGUGAAUGGAAAAAUCUGGCAGCUAAAAGAUACAUUUUUUUAAAUCCUUUUUGUUGUUGUUGUUGAAAACUUGUUUUAAUGGGAAUAUACUGUGUUCAGUAAUACUUCUGAAAAAGCAGAAGGUGCUUCAACUCCAACUGGAUUUAUAAACAUAAGUUCUCCUGACAGAAGAAGUCUGAAGAGAGAGAGGACACAUCCAAGGCAGAACUGGAUCAUGCCCUGGCUUGCCAGAACAGACUUGCUCUCAUGGUUGGACACGGCCAAAGGAGAUACUGGUGCAGAGGUGCAUUGAUCAGCCAGCAGCUUCUCACUUGAAGAUGUCCCAUGAGGUCCUGCUGGGAGCCUGGCUUCUGAAUGGCUGAUGAAGCUCAGUUUCACCGUGCACACCUUGACUAGGUAAGUCCUUUGACAGCCUUCAGCUGCAAGACCAUGAGGAGAGGACUGAAAAUGUGCAUAAG
Melopsittacus undulatus (budgerigar) is the source of this 611-nucleotide long non-coding RNA. RefSeq lists it as uncharacterized. The record is from RefSeq and is a predicted model, not a curated record. The transcript has 3 exons. Lineage: Eukaryota; Metazoa; Chordata; Aves; Psittaciformes; Psittaculidae.